RNAcentral lists this ribosomal RNA (420 nucleotides) under bacterium. Its description in RNAcentral is "partial 16S ribosomal RNA". It matches the Rfam family "Bacterial small subunit ribosomal RNA", at positions 355 to 776 of the family's 1533-position model. The record is from RNAcentral.
UGGGGGAUAUUGCACAAUGGGCGAAAGCCUGAUGCAGCGACGCCGCGUGGGGGAUGAAGGUUUUCGGGUUGUAAACCUCUUUCGCUAUCGAACAAGGCCCGCUUAGGGUGGGUUGAGGGUAGGUGGAGAAGAAGCGCCGGCUAACUACGUGCCAGCAGCCGCGGUAAUACGUAGGGCGCGAGCGUUGUCCGGAAUUAUUGGGCGUAAACGGCUUGUAGGCGGCUUGUUGCGCCUGCUGUGAAAACGCGGGGCUUAACUUCGCGCGUGCAGUGGUUACGGGCAGGCUUGAGUGUGGUAGGAGUGACUGGAAUUCCAGGUGUAGCGGUGGAAUGCGCAGAUGUCUGGAGGAGCACCGAUGGCGAAGGCAGGUCACUGGGCCAUUACUGACGCUGAGGAGCGAAAGCAUGGGUAGCGAACAGG